RNAcentral lists this ribosomal RNA (497 nucleotides) under uncultured bacterium. Its description in RNAcentral is "partial 16S ribosomal RNA". It matches the Rfam family "Bacterial small subunit ribosomal RNA", at positions 28 to 507 of the family's 1533-position model. The record is from RNAcentral.
GAUGAACGCUGGCGGCGUGCCUAAUACAUGCAAGUCGAGCGAACAGACGAGGAGCUUGCUCCUCUGACGUUAGCGGCGGACGGGUGAGUAACACGUGGAUAACCUACCUAUAAGACGGAGAUAACUUCGGGAAACCGGAGCUAAUACCGGAUAAUAUAUUGAACCGCAUGGGUCGAUAGUGAAAGACGGCGUUGCGGGCACUUAUAGAUGGAUACGCGCCGGAUGAGAUAGUUGGUAAGUUAAAGGCUUACCAAGGCAAGUAUGCGUGUCCGAACUGAGAGGGUGAUCGGCGACCUGGGAACGUAGACAGCGUCCAUGCGACUGAGGGACGGAGCAGAAGCGAAUCGGCCGCAACGGGCGAAAGUAUUGCGGAGCAACCCCGCGCGAGUUAUGAAGGCCCUCCGAUCGGAAAGCUCUCUUUCUAGGGAAAAACCAAUGUGUAAGUAAAUAUGCACGUCUUGACGGUACUUAAUCAGAAAGCCACGGCUAACUACGUG